GAGGACGCUCACCACUUUGUGGUUCAUGACUGGGGUGAAGUCGUAACAAGGUAGCCCUAGGGGAACCUGGGGCUGGAUCACCUCCUUAACGAUAGAU
This 97-nucleotide ribosomal RNA is filed under the name Aliivibrio sp. SR45-2. Its description in RNAcentral is "partial 16S ribosomal RNA". It matches the Rfam family "Bacterial small subunit ribosomal RNA", at positions 1446 to 1533 of the family's 1533-position model. The record is from RNAcentral. Lineage: Bacteria; Pseudomonadati; Pseudomonadota; Gammaproteobacteria; Vibrionales; Vibrionaceae.